This 62-nucleotide transfer RNA is filed under the name Busonia albilateralis. RNAcentral describes it as "tRNA-Glu". Lineage: Eukaryota; Metazoa; Arthropoda; Insecta; Hemiptera; Cicadellidae. The record is from RNAcentral.
UAUUCAUGUAGUUUACUUAAAACAUUUUAUUUUCAUUAAAAAAAAAUUAAUUUUAUGAAUAU